This 496-nucleotide ribosomal RNA is filed under the name uncultured bacterium. RNAcentral describes it as "partial 16S ribosomal RNA". It matches the Rfam family "Bacterial small subunit ribosomal RNA", at positions 29 to 507 of the family's 1533-position model. The record is from RNAcentral.
AUGAACGCUGGCGGCGUGCCUAAUACCUGCACGUCGAGCGCACGGACGAGAAGCUUGCUUCUCUGAUGUUAGCGGCGGACGGGUGAGUAACACGUGGAUAACCUACCUAUAAGACUGGGAUAACUUCGGGAAACCGUAGCUAAUACCGGAUAAUAUUUUGAACCGCAUGGUUCAAAAGUGAAAGACGGUCUUGCUGUCACUUAUAGAUGGAUCCGCGCUGCAUUAGCUAGUUGGUAAGGUAACGGCUUACCAAGGCAACGAUGCAUAGCCGACCUGAGAGGGUGAUCGGCCACACUGGAACUGAGACACGGUCCAGACUCCUACGGGAGGCAGCAGUAGGGAAUCUUCCGCAAUGGGCGAAAGCCUGACGGAGCAACGCCGCGUGAGUGAUGAAGGUCUUCGGAUCGUAAAACUCUGUUAUUAGGGAAGAACAUAUGUGUAAGUAACUGUGCACAUCUUGACGGUACCUAAUCAGAAAGCCACGGCUAACUACGUG